Molecule: transfer RNA, 62 nt
Filed under: Calcaritermes cf. nigriceps
Lineage: Eukaryota; Metazoa; Arthropoda; Insecta; Blattodea; Kalotermitidae
Description: tRNA-Ala
Source: RNAcentral
AGGGUUGUAGUUAAUAAUAACAUUUGAGUUGCAUUCAAAAAGUACCAAAAAGGUCUACCUUA